RNAcentral lists this ribosomal RNA (397 nucleotides) under Alonella excisa. RNAcentral describes it as "partial large subunit ribosomal RNA". It matches the Rfam family "Bacterial large subunit ribosomal RNA", at positions 1998 to 2610 of the family's 2925-position model. Lineage: Eukaryota; Metazoa; Arthropoda; Branchiopoda; Diplostraca; Chydoridae. The record is from RNAcentral.
GGCAUCACGAGAAACACCCUGUCUCAUUUCUAAUAUUUGAAUUUCAUUUAGGUGUGCAAAAGCACCUUUAUUCUCAAAAGACGAUCAGACCCUAUGGAGCUUGUAAAAAUCUUUGGAAUAAUCAGAUGUUAAAACAAUUAUUUUGUUAAGAUUUUUUUCGUUGGGGCGACGGAGAGCUAAAAUAUAACCCUCUUUUUCACAAAUAACAAUAAUUAAAAUUUGAUCCUAGGAGAUAGAUUAAAAGACUAAGUUACCCUAGGGAUAACAGCGUAAUUUCCUUAGAGAGCCCAAAUCGAUAAGGAAGUUUGCGACCUCGAUGUUGGAUCAAAGUUUCUAUAAGGUGAAGCAGCUUUAUAAGAGGGUCUGUUCGACCUUUAAAUCUUUACGUGAUCUGAGU